UUCAUAAUGACAGAAUACCCCUUGUCAUCAAUAACAAACAUUUGUGUAGUUACUGUUCUGCUGCCAUACGGAAUGGGACUCUGGAAGUACGAAGAUUCUAUCACAGAAGAGAGCACAAGCCAUUUGUGAAGGUGAAAGCGACGUUGGAGGAUGGUAAGGAGGUUCCUCUGUGAAGCAUGAAGGCAUUGAUGAGGAGUGCUGAUUUCUAGUUGUCCUGAAUCCUGCGCUAUCAAGUGAAUAGCAUGAAAUGGAAUCAACGCGGAGAGCUUCGGAAAAACAUUUCUAAGCGUGUGUGUAUGCAGCAAUUAGGAUGCUCCAGUCAAAUGGGGCCUCAUCCCCGCCCCCUGGUAAUUUCCUGCUCUUGGUUGCGCCGAUGCUAAAUAUUUAUCCUGGCUUACUAAAGCAAGAACCAAAACGACAAAAACAACGUUAGAAACACACCACCCGCAGCUCAUCACUACUGAAUUUCUUCAUCCACUUUGUGCCUUUCCUGUCUCCUGAAACAAGUUUUCAUCAUCCCAGAGGACAUGUGAACUUCUUGUCUCUGUCUCUAUCUGUCUCUAUAAACCUGUAUGGAUGGCUGCGACUGUGAGAGGAAUAAGUAUGGGGGAGGUGUUCAAGGUUCUAACCCGUGUCCUCCUCCUGCUUAUAACAUCAAGUCCUAAUCCUCCUGCAACUGGGUCCGGAGAGAAAAUGUUUAGGAGACAAUUAUGCGUUAGUAAGGUGAUAAAAGUGGGACCCUGAACCUACUGGGUUAGUCUCUGUCAGAAGCAACACCAGAGGCUGACUCUUGCUCAUUCUUGCUUUGUUGAGUGCAUGCCCACUCUCUCUGUCACUCGAGGAUGAGCAGAAAGAGGCCAUCUGCAAGCCAGGAAGAGACUUGGUACAGCAGCAUAGUCUUCCAGGCUCUUGAUUUUGGACUUCCCAGCCUCCAUCUUUAAAAUAAACUUCUCUUUGUUUAAACCGCCCUAUCUCAUAGAGUUUGCUGUGGUCACCAGAUCUGACUAACGCAGAAUGGGAGCUUAAUCGGACAUUGUUUCCCCGAUGGAACAUUUCAGAUGAGAAGAUCACUGUGCAUUUUGUGUGCUCUGUCUUCGUGGCCUGGAAAAUAUGUCAAAAGAGCAGCAGCCUGAGCCAUGAACAGGUGUAUUGCUGGCUGAAGUGCUGUUGGAGGGCAGAGUUGUUUAAACCUCCAGGGAGUAUCAUCUGCUGCAUGCAGAAGUGGUAUGCACAUCUGGGGAAGGCUUAGUUUUGCCAGAAGUCAAAAGGCUUAAGAUAUACAAUUCCUAUUCUCAGUCUCCUUAUGGGGGAAGUGCAGGACUCCAGAUGUGAGGAGAUUUGGGACAGUGUAGAAUUAUGUCAUUACUAUGAACUAGGUAUUUUCCCCUAACUUAUUUUGAAACCCUAAACCACAGUAUGAUAUCAUAAAAGCAGGUGUAGACAUGGGAUUUUCUCUUCUUUCUUUAAGUAUAUACUCCUAAGAGGUCACAUGAAGACACAAUUGGAAGAUAACUGUCUACAUACCAGGAAGAGGACCUUCUCCAAGAACUCAACAGGGAGUACCUGAUGUUAGAUUUCUCGUCUCCAGACAACUGAGAAAUAUUGACUUGUGAUUUCAGCUACCCAGCCUAAGGUAUUCUGUUGUAGCAGUGUGAGCUGAUCAAGAAAAUAACAUUUUGCUCUAGCAAAAGAGGAGCUUUUGACAAUAAUGAAAUCUCUCCCAGUUUCUCACCAUUUUCUUUUCUCAGAAAGCAGGUUUAAAAUACACUGAGGAAUAAUCUCCCUAAACACAAUGUGACUGGAACCAGCAUCUCUCUGUCAAAAUCUUAGCCACAGGAAUCAGGUAGGAUCAAUAUAGAACCCAUUUGAGCAUAGGGAUUUGAGCAAAUUCCCAGACUGUGUGUCCAUGAAGCCAACCUUUUCCUGAUCCUGAUUGAAGAGGACUGCUCAUCUCAGUGUGAGAAAGGGCACAAAGAGAAGGCUGGAUUUGAUGAAAACAGAUACAGGUUUCAUCUUCCUCCAAGGUCAAAGGCAGAACUUUGUCUUUUCUGUUUUACUGAAGGUCCCCUCACUCCAUUCUUUUGCUGUACAGUGAAUUCCAUAUCUACAUUCUCCAAGUUCCUCCUUUGUUGAGGGUCCCCAACAAGACGAAUGAAUGGGGCUGGCCAUGAUGUGUGGGCCAAGACCAGUCCAAUUCUAGUUUUGUUUUUUGUGAUACUUAGGAUCAAUCCAAGACCUAACACAAGUUAGGCGAGCACUCUACAACUGAGCUACAUUCCUAACCCUAGAGUCAAAUUCCGGAUGGGAUGAUCCUCUCAGGCCUCAUUUAUUUGCUAUGCUGUGUUCUUUUUGGACAGGCUAUUACGUUAAAAAGCCAUGAAAUGUGUGCAUGAAGCUUUCUUCAUGAGUCUAUCCUCUGCAGUAGAACUUGGACUAGGGGUAGUUUGCCAAUGGAUCUAUCCCAGGAACUCCUUUCCAUCUUCUAGAAUGCCUUUGUUCUGUUAUAGAAGAGUCUAUGACCCCAUAUUCUGCUCAGAUAUCUUCUAAAAGGAAGAAGGAGGAAGAAGAAAGAAUGAAGGCAAACAGCUUCGUAACUAUGUGCUGUGUGCCCAUGAAACUGCCCUGCCUGUGACACGAACUCAGAAGUAACUAACCUUAUUUUUUCUCUAGAACAUCCUGGGACUCUUGUUAUAGACAAGGCAUGGAAGAUUAGAUGGACUCUCAUUUGCUGAAUCUUAUUACUUAGUUCCCACUCAGAGAGCUGAGGUCCACAAAUGGCUCAGUACCUCUUAUCAUACUUACUAACUCUAGUUAGUAUGGACCAAAAUUUAGGGCCAGAGAAUGAUCUUACUAACAACUAAUAUUGAUUGAAUGUCUACAAUGAUAGGUGAUAUGGGGCCAAGGUUCCUCCUCUGCUCUCUGCUCCUCUAAGGUCUGACUCAGAACUGACACCCACCCCCCUUACACUUUCUUUUGUGGGAAAGCCCCUUAGAAAAUUGCCCAACCCUGUCCCAGGGACUUGAGAUCAAGCUGACUCAGCUAACCACUGCUUUAUGCUUCUGUUAAACUGCUUGCUUGCUCCCCUUCCCCUGAAAUUGCCAACAAGGAUAUGGCUUUUGUCUUCAAAAGCUGCCAGCAGAAAGCAGUGAGGGUGCUCCAUGACAACUGUUUCUUUCCAGUCAGUUGCCGGCUGGCCUUAGAAAGACUCUCAGAUUCACUCUGGUUUUGUUGAGUGGUUCUUGGGGUUUUUACCCCAUGAUAAUAGGAACAAUGAAAAACUUCUGAUAUACUUUGGAUUGAUGGUCUCAAGCCUAUUUUCCUUUUCUGUGUCCACACCCCCUAUAUCAUGACUACAGCUUCCACUGUCAAGGAGUAACACCUAUUUCUCUACCUCUUGAAUUCCAGCUGGUUCUUUGAACUUCUUUGUCUUAAUCAAAUGCUCCAGAAGAGACAAUGUGAUAUUCAGGAUGUAUGAUGAGGAAGCUUAUACUCUUCAGAUUGUCUCUCUUGGAACUCUGGGAUCUCAGCGAAAAUAAGCCUACACUAGCAUGGUGGAGGUGAUCAUUACAGGAGAGCUGAGUCGUUCCAACUGGGACCAUGAGAAUGCCCCACCCCAGAUGACUUGCUGACUAGCUAGAGAUGCAUCAGUAGGCUUAGCUGAUGUCAGGCAAACCAAGUCGUGGUCAGCAUAUUGAUUUGGCCGAACAACUGAGACAGGUAAAACAAUGAUAGAUGGUUUUUUCUUUAAGCCUCUGUGCAGCGUCAUUACAUUAAUAACCUACGUACAUUAUUAUUUCCAUUCUCUUGAUGAGGAAACAAGCUGAGAGGUUAAGUCCUUGUCUCUGAUAAACAGCUAGUGAAUGGACUCAGAAAGCUGAACUCCGGAGUCUAGAUUCUUGUCUGCUACUUUGUAAGAUCUCAUCAUAACACUCAAGUAUCUGUCAGCCCUUGGCUAAUGUAAAGUCAUUUGACUGUAGGAAACUGUUUCUGCUGGUGUGGACAGGUCAUAGGAUGGAGUUCAGACAUCAGAAAUCUUUCUGCUGAUAAAAUGCCAUGACAGCUAUUGACUAAAACAUACAAAAUAAAACACUGCAAUCUAUCUGAGAAAAAAUACUUAAGCGCAAAACAAGUGAGACAAACAAUAUCUUUGAAAUCAAGGUUGCAAAAUGCAAGAUAGCAGAAAGUUUGAUUGAAUCUCAUUAAUCCCAAGUUAUGACCUCGUUCUGUAAGAGGUCUGCAUGACAAUCCUGUAAAUGCGAAAGACAUCCUUCACUUGAAAAUGAAAACAAAAUGCAAUUAUGUUAGUGGAAGAAUUUCCUCAUUAAAGAAAACUAAACUCAC
Molecule: long non-coding RNA, 4341 nt
Organism: Peromyscus californicus insignis
Lineage: Eukaryota; Metazoa; Chordata; Mammalia; Rodentia; Cricetidae
Exons: 2
Source: RefSeq, a predicted model, not a curated record